Molecule: non-coding RNA, 209 nt
Organism: Pelobates cultripes (western spadefoot toad)
Lineage: Eukaryota; Metazoa; Chordata; Amphibia; Anura; Pelobatidae
Source: the annotation of a GenBank genome assembly
CGCAUCUUCCUUGGCAUCGCGUAGGUCAUGUUUUUUUCUCUGACAUCUUGUUGGCAGCUGAAGGCAGGAUGCCAAUGUGACCAAGACAGGGGAAAGUGCAGUUUCAGGUUUUACAGCACGCUGCCUGUGUAUUGCACAGCUCACUCCUAUAUCAUCCACCCCCUUUCCCUGUGGCAUGGGGUUUUUAUUCCAUAGCACUUUCACGUGUG